CAAUAGCGUAUAUUUAAGUUGCUGCAGUUAAAAAGCUCGUAGUUGGAUUUCGGGUGGGAAUGGCCGGUCCGCCGUUUCGGUGUGCACUUGCUACGCCCACCUUGCUGCCGGGGACGUGCUCUUGAGUUCACGCUCGGGACACGGAGUCGGCGAGGUUACUUUGAGUAAAUUAGAGUGUUCAAAGCAGGCCUACGCUCUGAAUACAUUAGCAUGGAAUAACACGAUAGGACUCUGGCCUAUCUUGUUGGUCUGUAGGACCGGAGUAAUGAUUAAGAGGGACAGUCGGGGGCAUUCGUAUUUCAUUGUCAGAGGUGAAGUUCUUGGAUUUAUGAAAGACGAACUACUGCGAAAGCAUUUGCCAAGGAUGUUUUCAUUAA
RNAcentral lists this ribosomal RNA (377 nucleotides) under uncultured eukaryote. Its description in RNAcentral is "partial 18S ribosomal RNA". It matches the Rfam family "Eukaryotic small subunit ribosomal RNA", at positions 592 to 976 of the family's 1831-position model. The record is from RNAcentral.